AUGCACGCUGGCGGCGUGCCUAAUACAUGCAAGUCGAGCGAACAGACGAGGAGCUUGCUCCUCUGACGUUAGCGGCGGACGGGUGAGUAACACGUGGAUAACCUACCUAUAAGACUGGGAUAACUUCGGGAAACCGGAGCUAAUACCGGAUAAUAUAUUGAACCGCAUGGUUCAAUAGUGAAAGACGGUUUUGCUGUCACUUAUAGAUGGAUCCGCGCCGCAUUAGCUAGUUGGUAAGGUAACGACUUACCAAGGCAACGAUGCGUAGCCGACCUGAGAGGGUGAUCGGCCACACUGGAACUGAGACACGGUCCAGACUCCUACGGGAGGCAGCAGUAGGGAAUCUUCCGCAAUGGGCGAAAGCCUGACGGAGCAACGCCGCGUGAGUGAUGAAGGUCUUCGGAUCGUAAAACUCUGUUAUUAGGGAAGAACAAAUGUGUAAGUAACUAUGCACGUCUUGACGGUACCUAAUCAGAAAGCCACGGCUAACUACGUG
Molecule: ribosomal RNA, 496 nt
Filed under: uncultured bacterium
Lineage: Bacteria
Description: partial 16S ribosomal RNA
Rfam family: Bacterial small subunit ribosomal RNA
Source: RNAcentral